UGAGUACGAGCGGCUACGGCCGCGAAGUGGAUGAUGUCAAGCUUCCAAGAAAAGCCCUAUACCCGUUAAGGCAUGAUGGCCUGUACCCGAAACCGACACAGGUGGGGUGGUAGAGAAUACCGAGGGGCGCGAGGUAGCUCUCUCUAAGGAACUCGGCAAAAUGGCCCCGUAACUUCGGGAGAAGGGGUGCCACCGCGAGGUGGUCGCAGUGAAGAGGCCCAGGCGACUGUUUACCAAAAACACAGGUCUCCGCUAAGUCGCAAGACGAUGUAUGGGGGCUGACGCCUGCCCAGUGCCGGAAGGUUAAGGAAGCUGGUCAGCGCAAGCGAAGCUGGCGACUGAAGCCCCGGUGAACGGCGGCCGUAACGAUAACGGUCCUAAGGUAGCGAAAUUCCUUGUCGGGUAAGUUCCGACCCGCACGAAAGGCGUAACGAUCUGGGCGCUGUCUCGGAGAGAGGCUCGGCGAAAUAGAAUUGUCUGUGAAGAUGCGGACUACGUGCACCCGGACAGAAAGACCCUAUGAAGCUUUACUGUAGCUUGGUAUUGUGCUCGGGCUCGGAAUGCGCAGGAUAGGUGGGAGGCUUUGAUCCAUUGCUUGCGGGUGAUGGUGAGCCACUGGUGAGAUACCACUCUUUCCGAGCUAGAGUUCUAACAGCAACCCGUUAUCCGGGUGCUGGACAGUAUCAGGUGGGCAGUUUGACUGGGGCGGUCGCCUCCUAAAAGGUAACGGAGGCGCGCAAAGGUCUGCUCAGGCUGGUUGGAAAUCAGCCGACGAGUGUAAAAGCAGAAGCAGGCUUGACUGUGAGACCUACAAGUCGAACAGGGAGGAAACUCGGCUUUAGUGAUCCGACGGUUCUGCGUGGAAGGGCCGUCGCUCAACGGAUAAAAGUUACUCUAAGGAUAACAGGCUGAUCUCCCCCAAGAGUUCACAUCGACGGGGAGGUUUGGCACCUCGAUGUCGGCUCAUCGCAACCUGGGGCUGAAGUCGGUCCCAAGGGUUGGGCUGUUCGCCCAUUAAAGCGGUACGCGAGCUGGGUUCAGAACGUCGUGAGACAGUUCGGUCCAUAUCCGGUGCACGCGCAGGAAUAUUGAGAGGAUUUCUCCCUAGUACGAGAGGACCGGGAGGAACGCACCUCUGGUGUGCCAGUUAUCGUGCCAACGGUAAACGCUGGGUAGCCAUGUGCGGAGUGGAUAACCGCUGAAAGCAUCUAAGUGGGAAGCCCACCUCAAGAUGAGUAUUCCCAUGGGGUAACCCAGUAAGGUCACGGGAAGAACACCCGUUGAUAGGCUCUACGUGGAAGCGCAGUAAUGUGUGAAGCGGAGGAGUACUAAUAGACC
This 1338-nucleotide ribosomal RNA is filed under the name metagenome. RNAcentral describes it as "bacterial LSU rRNA". It matches the Rfam family "Bacterial large subunit ribosomal RNA", at positions 1564 to 2910 of the family's 2925-position model. The record is from RNAcentral.